AAGAAAGGUGUGACAUCCUUGCUGGCUUCAAUGUGAAGAGCCACCCUGAUUCUGGGAUUCUGAUAGGAAUAAGGUAGAUGAUGCAUAUCUGAACCUGGAAACCGCUUCCCACUGUAGAGCGUGUCUGAGUCAUGUCCCUUAGCUUCAGCAGAGCAGAUCCAGCAGGCUCUGAGCUUGACCUCUUUGCCUGAAGCGAGACCUCUAGGUAACGUCUCCAGGGAGGGUGGCACAAAGGAUCCUGGAUCUCCUGAUCACAGCAGCCCAAGAGUGCCGUGUGUGCACCAUGGCUCAAGAAGACUUAAAAAGGGGAAAGUAUGACUAUUUCUAAUCUGUAGUAUUUCAGUAUUUUUAAUGUUUCGGUAAUCUGUAUGAAAAAGAAUUUGCAAUAAAUAGAAUAAUUUGCCUAAAAUUGAAUCUAUUUCACCAAUAAAAUUGGCUUUUAAUCAAGUGAUAAAUCCUGUAAAAUAGAUAAUAAAUGCAGUACCAACAUAGUUUGAUUCUAGUACACUGAGAUAAUCUUGAAUACGUUAAGAAAGUCUUGUUUGUAUAGAAGAGUUUCAAAUCAUGUGAGUGAUGAAGGGACCCUUCUGUUGAACCUUGGUGUGCAUUUUAGGUCCAUUUUGGGUUUACUCCUUUGUGCUGCUUCAUGAUGCCUUAGGACAAGGACAAGGCCUAGGCCUCCUUGUCUCAGUUCCCUCCUGCUCUCUCUGUUGCCCUCCUCCUUCCACCUGGAGCAUGGCCCAGCAUCAGGUUGGCGCAUGCUGUGAUCAGCUACCUCCAUGUACCACACCAAGCAAAGCUCUCUGGGUGACACAGUUGCCACCACCAGGGCACUGACCCUUACUCUGUGUUCUCCUAGCUCCUCCUGAGGGUGCUGUAGGAGACAUCUGCAAAAAAGAAGAUGCUGGCAAUAUGCCAUCAACCUCAGAGGGGAGUAUUUACCUUGAAAUGGCUCACUUCCUGAGGAACAAACUUGCUGGAUCUAGUGUACGGAAACCUGAUUCUGGGUUCCUUUGGGAAGGAGCAUUACGGGCCUGCUCCUGGACCACCUCAUAUCACCAGCACCCUCUACCCAAGGUCCUGGAGCCAACACUGGAGUAAAAGAGCACAAGAGAACUCCUUAGAGGUGGAAGGAUACCCUCUGAGGUCAAAUCAUUGGGCUUGUGGCCAUGAGACCACAGACUUUGCCUGGCUUCCAGUGACUGUCCGAGAUGACCUGUGGAGUGCACCGCCUGUACUUGGACAUCACUGUCUUUUCGGAUCCAUACCCGUCAUCCUUGGAAUUUCCCCUGCAUCCAAACCUGUUCCUGAUACAGGUGUGAGUAAUGAAUAACCCUAAGGAAUAUCUUGGAUGUCUUCACGGGGCUUAUGACUUAUUCUGAGGUUUACAAAAUAGAGGCCCCCAGCUGAGCAAAGAGAGGGCUGCAGCGCCGAGGGAACAGCUGCCGGACUCACCGGAGAGGCCUCCUGGAGCACGCCGGGACCCCCUCCACCCCCUGGCUUUGGCUGCAUCAAUGGCUAGUUUGCCUGAACUAUAUCUGAGCCACUGAGAGUAUUUAUUAAGCAGAGAAUAAUUUUGAGUUUCACUUUUAUAACUUUUGUUUCAAAAGUUGUUUUGGAUAAUUUAAUGAAAUGACUGUAAACCAGAAUUCCCCUUUUCAUUAUUUCUUUGUGUCAAUAUAAAAAGAGUUGAUGAUUUUAAAAGCCAGUGAGAUGUCCCUGUCUGUGGAUGUCAGCGGGAGGGUGGGGUCUGACGCCUUUCUCUGGUGGCUGUCCAGGAAGAUUGCCCCAGCUUGCACUCCCUUUUGGCGGGUUCCAGAGCCUUCCAUUUGAAAGGAGCAUCUCUCACCACUCUGCCCCACCCAGCACCAGCUCUUCUGGAACCCACUGACUUCCUAAACACUUUCUUCCUCCUUCACCUCAUUGAAUUCAAGACUUUAGAAAACAGCCAAAAACUCUAGAGGUGGGGGUGGGUUCGAUCUGGAAAUCCCUGCUGUAAUCUUUUUAAGGGAAUCCACUGGAAAUUAUUAAUUUAUGUUUUAAAUAAAACCAUUCCUUACUUAACAGAAUAUUAAGCCACUCAUUUUUUUAACAGAACUUUCGAGAUAUAAUUAAAAUGCCAUAAAUUUCACCCCCACACAGUGUACAAUUCCAAGGUUUCCAAUAUAGUCACAGAAGUCUCUGCAACAAUUACCACAAUUUUAGACAUGAAGACCAUUUGUUGGCAGCCCUACCUGCCUCUAUGUGUAUGUAUAUAAUUUUAAUAUUGGAUUGGAUACUAUAGUAAUAUUGUACUGUUACCUAUUUGUGUUUUUAUAUUGCUGUUUUAUUUUAUUCAGAUGAAUAAUAAUUAUCUCCAUAUAGUCAUACAUUUAUAUAGGGUUAAACACACCUUUUUACAAUUCAAUAAAUUAAAUUGGUCAGGUAUGGUGGCUCACGCCUGUAAUCCCAGCACUUUGGGAGGCCAAGGCGGGUGGAUCACCUGAGGUUGGGAGUUUGAGACCAGCGUGAUCAACAUGGAGAAACCCUGUCUGUACUAAAAAUACAAAAAAUUAGCCAGGCAUGGUGGCACAUGCCUGUAAUCCCAGCUACUUGGGAGGCUGAGGCAGGAGAAUCACUCGAACCAAGGAGGCGGACAUUGCGGUGAGCCAGGAUCGCACCAUUGCACUCCAGCCUGGGCAACAAGAGCAAAACUCCAUCUCAAGAAGAAAAAAAAAAAAAAAGUAAAUUGUUUUUAAUUACAUAAGAAACACGUGUUAUUGUUAUAGAAAUUCACAUAGUGCUUCGGUCUAUAGAAUAAAUGUAUCCCCACCACCUCCCAGCCCACCCACUCGUCUGCAUUCACCUACACACAGUUAAACAUGCACAUAUGUUUCCGUGACACGAUCUUGCUUUGCAUAUUGUUCACUGACUGGCUUUUCCAUAUAAGAUUUAAUUUGGUGAUUAUUGCUUAUCAGUACCUAUAGGUCUCUCUCAUUAUUAUUUAUAAUUACAUCAUUAUUCCAUAGGGUAUUUUACCACAAUUUGGUCACUUUUUCACUGAGGAAUUUUUAUGUCAGUUUCAGUUAUUUGUUAUUGUUACCAAUGCUGUACUGGGCAUCCCUGUAUAUCCACCUUUUUGUUGCAUUAGUUAAGUGGUUUUUUCCUUUUAUGAUUGAUUUCUAAAAAUAAAAUACUGCAGCAAA
This 3185-nucleotide long non-coding RNA is filed under the name Homo sapiens (human). RNAcentral describes it as "HSALNT0392972". Lineage: Eukaryota; Metazoa; Chordata; Mammalia; Primates; Hominidae. The record is from RNAcentral.